RNAcentral lists this RNase P RNA (584 nucleotides) under Candidatus Hepatincola sp. Av. Its description in RNAcentral is "RNaseP_bact_a". It matches the Rfam family "Bacterial RNase P class A". From Rfam's summary of the family: Ribonuclease P (RNase P) is a ubiquitous endoribonuclease, found in archaea, bacteria and eukarya as well as chloroplasts and mitochondria. Its best characterised activity is the generation of mature 5'-ends of tRNAs by cleaving the 5'-leader elements of precursor-tRNAs. Lineage: Bacteria; Pseudomonadati; Pseudomonadota; Alphaproteobacteria; Rhodospirillales; Candidatus Hepatincolaceae. The record is from RNAcentral.
CUAGGUAGUUGGGUAAUUGCUGGGCUUGGUGAAAAUUAAGCACAGAGGAAAGUCCGAGCUCCACAGAAACAAAGGACUGGUUAACCACCAGCUGGGGUAACCCAAGAGAAAGUGCAGCAGAAAAUAUACCGCCUAUAUAAUGUAAAACUAAAUAGCUAAACAUUUUAUAAAUGUAAAGUUAUUUGCUUAAUUUAUACUUGGUUUAUAUGAGUUAUAUUGAAGUUAUAUGUUAUAAAUAUGUUGUAAGUUAUACUUUUGUGUUUAUAAAUAUAAUUUUAUAUAAGUAAGUAAAUUACAAUAAGUUACAUAAUUAUUUAUGUGGCAGUAAUUAACAAUUAAAUUAAUUAUAUAGGUAAGGGUGAAAAGGUGGGGUAAGAGCCUACCGCUUUUUUGGUAACAGAAAAGGCAUUGUAAACCUUCCUUGGAGCAAGAUCAAAUAAAGUAGCGUUGUUUUUACAACAUCUCAGUUUCUGGAGUAUACUUUGGUGGAUCGCAAGAGGUUAUAAGUAAUUAUAACCCCAGAUAAAUAAUUACCGUUUUAGCUUGCUAAAAUACAGAACUCGGCUUAUAAACUAUCUAGUAAU